RNAcentral lists this ribosomal RNA (253 nucleotides) under uncultured bacterium. Its description in RNAcentral is "partial 16S ribosomal RNA". It matches the Rfam family "Bacterial small subunit ribosomal RNA", at positions 524 to 776 of the family's 1533-position model. The record is from RNAcentral.
UACGGGGGGGGCAAGCGUUAUCCGGAUUCACUGGGUUUAAAGGGUGCGUAGGCGGGUUGGUAAGUCCGUGGUGAAAUCUCCAAGCUUAACUUGGAAACUGCCGUGGAUACUAUCAAUCUUGAAUAUCGUGGAGGUAAGCGGAAUAUGUCAUGUAGCGGUGAAAUGCUUAGAUAUGACAUAGAACACCAAUUGCGUAGGCAGCUUACUACACGAUCAUUGACGCUGAGGCACGAAAGCGUGGGGAGCAAACAGG